CUGACUGCUAUCGGAUUGGUACUAAGCCAUGUGAGUCAUUGUAGCAAUACAAGGCAUACGGCUCAGUAACACGUAGUCAAUCUGCCCUAUGGACGUGGAUAACCUCGGGAAACUGAGAAUAAUCCGCGAUAGAUCAUAAUGCCUGGAACGGUUUAUGGUCCAAAUGAUUCGUCGCCAUAGGAUGGGACUGCGGCCUAUCAGCUUGUUGGUGAGGUAAUGGCCCACCAAGGCUAUUACAGGUACGGGCUCUGAGAGGAGAAGCCCGGAGAUGGGUACUGAGACACGGACCCAGGCCCUAUGGGGCGCAGCAGGCGAGAAACCUUUGCAAUGUGCGCAAGCACGACAAGGUUAAUCCGAGUGUUUCCUGCUAAAGGAAUCUUUUGUUAGUUCUAAAACCACUGAUGAAUAAGGGGUGGGCAAGUUCUGGUGUCAGCCGCCGCGGUAAAACCAGCACCUCAAGUGGUCAGGAGGAUUAUUGGGCCUAAAGCAUCCGUAGCCGGUUCUGUAAGUUUCCGGUUAAAUCCACUAGCUCAACUAAUGGGCUGCCGGAAAUACUGCAGAACUAGGGAGUGGGAGAGGUAGACGGUACUCGGGAGGAAGGGGUAAAAUCCUUUGAUCUCUUGAUGACCACCUGUGGCGAAGGCGGUCUACCAGAACACGUUCGACGGUGAGGGAUGAAAGCUGGGGGAGCAAACCGGAUUAGAUACCCGGGUAGUCCCAGCUGUAAACGAUGCAGACUCGGUGAUGCACUGGCUUUUGGCCAGUGCAGUGCCGCAGGGAAGCCGUUAAGUUUGCCGCCUGGGAAGUACGUACGCAAGUAUGAAACUUAAAGGAAUUGGCGGGGGAGCACCACAAGGGGUGAAGCCUGCGGUUCAAUUGGAUCAACGCCGGAAA
This 894-nucleotide ribosomal RNA is filed under the name uncultured archaeon. RNAcentral's name for it is "bacterial SSU rRNA". It matches the Rfam family "Archaeal small subunit ribosomal RNA", at positions 23 to 924 of the family's 1478-position model. The record is from RNAcentral.